AUUGAACGCUGGCGGCAUGCCUUACACAUGCAAGUCGAACGGCAGCACGGGAGCAAUCCUGGUGGCGAGUGGCGAACGGGUGAGUAAUGUAUCGGAACGUACCUUUCAGUGGGGGAUAACGUAGCGAAAGUUACGCUAAUACCGCAUAUUCUGUGAGCAGGAAAGCAGGGGGAUCGCAAGACCUUGCGCUGAUUGAGCGGGCCGAUAUCAGAUUAGCUAGUUGGUGAGGUAAAGGCUCACCAAGGCGACGAUCUGUAGCGGGUCUGAGAGGAUGAUCCGCCACACUGGAACUGAGACACGGUCCAGACUCCUACGGGAGGCAGCAGUGGGGAAUUUUGGACAAUGGGCGCAAGCCUGAUCCAGCCAUGCCGCGUGAGUGAAGAAGGCCUCGG
This 392-nucleotide ribosomal RNA is filed under the name uncultured bacterium. Its description in RNAcentral is "bacterial SSU rRNA". It matches the Rfam family "Bacterial small subunit ribosomal RNA", at positions 30 to 420 of the family's 1533-position model. The record is from RNAcentral.